GAUGAACGCUGGCGGCGUGCCUAAUACAUGCAAGUCGAGCGAACAGAUGAGGAGCUUGCUCCUCUGACGUUAGCGGCGGACGGGUGAGUAACACGUGGAUAACCUACCUAUAAGUCUGGGAUAACUUCGGGAAACCGGAGCUAAUACCGGAUAAUAUAUUGAACCGCAUGGUUCAAUAGUGAAAGACGGUUUUGCUGUCACUUAUAGAUGGAUCCGCGCCGCAUUAGCUAGUUGGUAAGGUAACGGCUUACCAAGGCAACGAUGCGUAGCCGACCUGAGAGGGUGAUCGGCCACACUGGAACUGAGACACGGUCCAGACUCCUACGGGAGGCAGCAGUAGGGAAUCUUCCGCAAAGGGCGAAAGCCUGACGGAGCAACGCCGCGUGAGUGAUGAAGGUCUUCGGAUCGUAAAACUCUGUUAUUAGGGAAGAACAAAUGUGUAAGUAACUAUGCACGUCUUGACGGUACCUAAUCAGAAAGCCACGGCUAACUACGUG
This 497-nucleotide ribosomal RNA is filed under the name uncultured bacterium. Its description in RNAcentral is "partial 16S ribosomal RNA". It matches the Rfam family "Bacterial small subunit ribosomal RNA", at positions 28 to 507 of the family's 1533-position model. The record is from RNAcentral.